CCCUACGGCGCGAUCAUAUCGUGCCUUCGACCGCGACCCCAGG
RNAcentral lists this ribosomal RNA (43 nucleotides) under Pedicularis spicata. Its description in RNAcentral is "partial 26S ribosomal RNA". The record is from RNAcentral. Lineage: Eukaryota; Viridiplantae; Streptophyta; Magnoliopsida; Lamiales; Orobanchaceae.